RNAcentral lists this transfer RNA (72 nucleotides) under Ictidomys tridecemlineatus (thirteen-lined ground squirrel). RNAcentral's name for it is "Spermophilus tridecemlineatus (thirteen-lined ground squirrel) tRNA". It matches the Rfam family "tRNA". From Rfam's summary of the family: Transfer RNA (tRNA) molecules are approximately 80 nucleotides in length. Their secondary structure includes four short double-helical elements and three loops (D, anti-codon, and T loops). The record is from Rfam by way of RNAcentral. Lineage: Eukaryota; Metazoa; Chordata; Mammalia; Rodentia; Sciuridae.
GGGGAUAUAGCUUAGUGGUAGAGUACUUGCCUAGCAUGUGUGAGGCCCUGGGUUUGAUCCCUAGCACCUCCC